CCCUUUAAUGUCUCUAUUAUAUAUAUAUAGACAAUUUUCUUCAUCAAACAAACUAGAAUAAUCCUUACAAAUUAUCAAACACAAUCUUUCUGUAUGACAAUGAUUUAAGUUCCCACUAUAAAUAUUUGAGUUCACUUUCAAAUUGAAAAUGACUGUGCUAUACUGCAUCCUGCACAGUCGAUAUUUACUGCCUCUUACACAGCCCAACUUUACUACCUCCUAAACUGCCAAACAGAAAUCCAUCAGUAAGCAUGGUAAGAGUUGAAGCAAGGGUUCUUGUGCAGCCUGGCAUACUCCUAUGCACAUUUAUCAAUUAAAGUCACCGAUGCAUAUUCAUACAUCUAACACAGCCGAAUGAGGCCUCCAUUAGCAAGAUUGGGUAUUACUAAGUCGUUUAUUCAAAUUAGAUGUACUUAUUGUAUAUCCUAAAGAAUUACCUAAUUUUGUACUAUGUUUAUACAUUUGUUUGUUUAAUACAAUCACAUGUUGUUUUGUUUGUUCAAAUCUUAAAAAAUUAACCAUAUUCAGCACAAUGUUUCCUUGACAAAAAUUAAGCACAAAUUAAGAAAACAAAGUAAGAACAUGGCUUUAAAACUAUGAAUAAUUAGAAAUUUUAGAUAACUAUGGUUGAACUAUGAAGUUGUUAAAUGCAGAAGUUUCUCAGGACCUGUUUUGUUCAGCAAUUACCUCCUUAAUCUAUAUGUAUCUAUUUUUGUAAACAUAAGCAUAUCUUUUAUUUUUGCCAUGUGCUGAUACGAUUUUUUUCAUCAUUAUGGAGGAAGAUGGACUGGAAAAUAAAUCAAGUUUUCAACAUAAAAAUGCUGAUAGAACUAUUUAAGGUUUAUGGUUUAAGUAAAAACAUUAACUCCUGUUCGAAGAUGACCCAAACCCUGAAUAAUUCAAACAGUUUUGUAUGGUCUUUUGGACCUUGUUAUCAGAGUAUUCACUGUUAUCACUAUGAGCCUCUGGUUGCAACUCCCUCAGACAAAGUUGACUGUAGACAGUUUUAGCUGUUCUGUUUUAACUCUUUUGUUUUUAUGGUGUCAAAUGUUUUAUAUAUAAUUUGGAUUUUCAAACUUUUAGUCUAUAUCAUACAUUGUGAAGGUUGUUUUGAUAACACAUUUUGUGGAAAUUUUUUCAUACUUUUUUGCUUUUUGUAAAAUCAAGCAUACUCUAACUGUUUUAUAUUUAUAGGUUUUUUGUUAUUGAUAAGAGGUUGUUAACCAUGUUAACAAUAACAUACAGAUUGCAUUGCAAAUUUGUUUUAUAAAGUUGUCUGGACUUUCUCUUCUAAAUUGUCACCCAAAGCCUUAAAUAACUCACUACAUGGUAUGAUUUUUUUGCUCAUUGUUGAAGACUGUAUAGUGACCUACAGUUGUUUACAUUCUUGUCCUUAGAUAGUUGUAUCUUUUGCAAUCAUACUACAUUUCUUAGUUUUUAUAUAUACUUAAGUACGUAAUGCUUAUACUAACUGCUUGUUUGCACUAUUAAAGGUGAUGACUUGACUCUCCUACAGCAGAUUGAUAACAUUUUUGAAAAGUUGUACAGUUUGAUUUUUUAAAACAAAUGGAAUUUGUGACUGAAUUUUUAAUGAAUUGCAAUAGGUGGAAUGCAACACUUACAGUCAAGUCACAGUAAAACAAAAUGUGUGAUGGUUUUUACUUUGUAAAUAAGUAGUAUUUUUGUCUUGUCUCAUAAAGAUACUAUAAGCAGUAGAUCAACUAUAUUUGGUGUAUGAAAUGACUGUAAGGUGAACAUGUCCAACUGACAGGUUUGAUCUGAUUGUGAAUUAUUUCAUGGUUCAUUGGUCAAUAUUAUGUUUUAAAGUUUAAGUAUGUUACUCAUAUACUAUAAGCAAAAGGUUAACUUAUUUGGUGUAUGAAAUGAUUGCAAGGUGUAUAGUACAAGUCUGUCUCGCAGAGUUCACCUAACCAUGACCUUAUUUUCAUAGUUCAAUGGUCAGUAUUAAAUUUAAAGUUAGGUUUGUUUCGCAGGUACUAUAGGCAAUAGGUCAACUAUAUUUGGUGUAUGGAAGAAUAGUAUGGUGUACAAUAGUAUGGUGAACAUGUCUGUAUGACAUGUUUGUCUGACCUUAACCUCAUUUUCAAGAUUCAAAAAUUAGAGUUAUGUUUUCAUUGUUGUCUGUUUUGUCAGAAACUUUAAGCUAAAAGGUUACCUAUAUUUGGUGUAUGGAAUGAUUGCAAGAUGUACACUGUCUGGCAGAGUAAAUCUGACCUCAUUAAAAUGGUAAAUUUGAAUGUUAAUUUUAUGUAAUACUUGUUGUAAAGCCUUUUUCUCUAAGACUUUCAACAUGAAUUCAAUCAUGAUCAGUAAAGCAGGAGACAUUUCAGUGUGUGCACUUUUGAGUUUAAAACUGCUUGUCUUUUUACAUAAGUAUUUUUCUUACUCAUACUACUACAAUCAAAUACCCUUUUUUUUAAGUCUGUUGUUAUUGACGCAGACAAUGAUUGUCAAGUUUAUGUUUUUUUUUCAUUGUUUUUAGGUUAAUGUUUGUUUAUUUGUUAUAAGGGUGGUCACUUUGUUUUAUUGCAUAUUACCUUUUAUUUGCAUUAUAUACCAAUGCAAUCUGAUUAUGUGUUGAUUUUAAGGUGUAAUUAUUAUUUAUAUUACAUAUUGUGUUGUGUUUUACUUACAUGUA
Mytilus californianus (California mussel) is the source of this 2659-nucleotide long non-coding RNA. RefSeq lists it as uncharacterized. The transcript has 2 exons. Lineage: Eukaryota; Metazoa; Mollusca; Bivalvia; Mytilida; Mytilidae. The record is from RefSeq and is a predicted model, not a curated record.